CUUACCUAUCCCUAGCAUAGCAAACAUAAACAAACAAUCACAGCACAGCAAGCAGUUUAAAAACAAAUUGUACAAUUGUACAACAAUCAUAGCACAGCAAGCAGUUUAAAAACAAAUUUGUUACAAAUUCAUUUUGAUGCUAUAGCUGGCAUUUGGUUAUGGAAAACAAUUUUAUUGAUGAUUACGAACAUAUCAAUUCCGAAGUGGAGUACAUAUUGGAAAAUGUGUUGAGCGAGGAUACGUUACAAAGCUCAAGUCCAGAAUCGAAGCAAUUAGUGGAUUUGUUUAAUACACUUUUAUUAAACAAAUGCUCAUGCAAAGAAUGUAAUAAUUAUUUGUGCACUCAUGGAUGUUCCUAUGAGCCCGAUUUGGAAUCUAAGGAGCUCGUGAUUUCAAGGGAUAAUUUUAGUGAUUUAUUGUACGAGUGCACGUCCCUUUGUUCCUGCAAAACAAAAACCUGUUGCAAUAGAUUGGUGCAAUAUGGGCCCAGAAAAGAUUUAAAAAUAAUAUUUUCUAAGAAAUAUCAAUCUUAUGGAAUCAUUACUACCAGAGAUAUCCCAAGGGGGGCCUUCAUUUGUGAAUACGCCGGUGAGCUUCUUACAAGGGAAGAGGCAAUGAAACGUAUAUAUGAAAACAAAAAACAAGGUCGAAUGAAUUAUGUGCUCUGCUUAAAGGAGAGUCUUAAUGGUCCCCAUCUUGAUGUAACAAACAACGGGGGAUUUACAAUAAUUGUGGACCCGGCCAAAAGAGGAAAUAUUGGGCGAUAUUUAAAUCAUAGCUGCAAUCCGAAUUGUCAGAUAUUUAGUGUACGAGUAGAUUCGCCAAUACCAAAAAUAGGAAUUUUUGCCAAACGUUUCAUUAAAUCAGGGGAAGAGCUGUGUUUUCACUAUAAUGAAGGGAGGAAGUGCUCACCACAAUCAAGUUUUGAAGAUCGUAUACUAUGUCUAUGUAAAUCUGAAGUAUGCGAAAACUUUUUACCCAACGCGGACAUAUAAACACAGAUCUGAGACAUGAACGGUUUAGUAUGUUAGCAACAACGUUUAUACCCUAGCUGUUAUGCCUUUUAGUUUGAGUAUUUAACAUUUUAACGAAAAUAAUAAAAUACGGAUUUUCAACGGAUACUCUGGCACUUCUGGGCUAAGAAAAUCAUGUAAGGUACUAAUAUGUACUACUAGCAGCAACCAGCGUUGUAUGAAAUGGAAUUUUAUAGCAUUUUUUUACAUGACUUAUAGCCUGUUCAGCAAACUUAUUUUUUUUCCAAUUGCAAGACAAAUGGCAGACAAAUGGGAUUUUCGGUUUUCGUACCAUUUAAAUGUGAAUAAAUCUUUUGUGACUCGUACCAUCGCUCAUUACCGUGAUAUUGGUAGCGUAGCCCGACGUCAAGGAAGCGGACGGAAGAAAACAGCAACAUCAACAGAAAUGGUUCGGAAAGUAAGACGCGACUUGAUCGAAACCCGCGUCGCAGUGGCCGAAAAAUGACUCGUGAGCUGAACAUAUCGCAAUAUUCCGUUCGGCAAAUAUUGAAAAAUGAGCUUGGGGUAAAGCCAUUGAAAUUCCAAAAAGUGCAAGAACUUACACCGCAACAGAAUUCUUUCUGUUCUUUCUCAAAAGAGCUAAAGAGUUUGCUUCGCUUGGCCGAAAGUGGUAAACUGCCGAAUUUGGGUUUCUCCGAUGAGAAAACAUUCGUUGUCCAGCAUUUUGUAAACAAACAAAAUGAUCGUGUUUACUUGCCAAAACUGAAAAUGUGCACCUUCGGUUGGUCACCAGAACUCAAGCGCAGGCCAUGGUGAUGGUGAGGGCCGCCAUAAGAGUCGAUGGUCGCUCUCCGCUCGUAUUAAUCGACCGUGGCAUCAGAAUAUAUGCCGAAAAGUAUGGCGAAAAUAUUCUGGAGGGUGUAUUAAAUUCUUGGGCACGCAAACAUUUUGGCCGCAGACCUUGGACAUUCCAACAGGACUCAGCGUCAUCGCACUCAGCACGCGCCACCCAAGUUUGGUUACAAAAUGAGGUUCCUCGCUUCAAUUCCAGCGCACAUGGACACCAAAAUCUGCGGAUACCAAUCCGUUGGACUAUCGUGUCUGGAGUAUUUUGGAAAGGUUGGCACUAAAAAUAUCAAACCUCAAGCAAGCGCUUCGCAGGGAAUGGGCCAAAAUACCGCAGAGCAACAUUCUCGCAGCGUG
Molecule: long non-coding RNA, 2177 nt
Organism: Musca domestica (house fly)
Lineage: Eukaryota; Metazoa; Arthropoda; Insecta; Diptera; Muscidae
Exons: 3
Source: RefSeq, a predicted model, not a curated record